AGCCUAAGACAGGAUGAGCUUCAGCACUUGAAGAGGAAAGCUUUAGCAGAAUUUAAGAAGCAAGCGUUAGAGUUGGAUGGCAAACAUGCUCUUCAAAAUAGUUAUGUUUAAUAUUUAACCAUAUUUUUCCUGAAUUCAUCUAGCUUAAAUUUCCAAAGCUUAACUUUUUUGAUCAGACUACAUGACUUCAUGAAGAACUCAAAGUGAAUGUAAAAAUACUUGAAAGCAGUGUUUUGUGUGCUGGUAUGACACUCGACCCUGAUUGUUAGGAGGCAUUGUCUUGUUCUGCAGCAGUGACUGAGCCUUCUUACCAGCAGGAGCUCAGGUUGCUGCCAGAUAAGUGGGCUAAUGGACAUAAAACCUGCUGCUGUUGCUGAAUUUACACACAGGAAGACUCUACGUGUUCAGCCUGCAUCUUGAUGGAGAAGAUUUGUUCAUCUAUCCAUUUACAAACAGCAGAAGGAACCACUAAUGGAAGUAUUUUAGUUUCCAUUCCAAAAGUUGGUAUCAGAUGGUUAUUGCAGCACACAUGGGACUGAAUUUCCUCUUCCUCUCUGCAGGUUACAGCGAGCCAUCAAAAAUAAACUGAAAAGGACAAAACCUUGCA
This 607-nucleotide long non-coding RNA is filed under the name Cyanistes caeruleus (blue tit). RNAcentral describes it as "lncRNA (ENSCCEG00000016973.1)". The record is from RNAcentral. Lineage: Eukaryota; Metazoa; Chordata; Aves; Passeriformes; Paridae.